UGUGACACUUAAGCAGUCUGGGUGGUUGUC
Molecule: non-coding RNA, 30 nt
Filed under: Macaca fascicularis (crab-eating macaque)
Lineage: Eukaryota; Metazoa; Chordata; Mammalia; Primates; Cercopithecidae
Also listed under: 1 other name
Source: RNAcentral